UAUCUCUCCGUACGGGGAAGGAUGAGAAGCUUCGACUAAGGUUCGAUUCGAGCGAAAGCGAGAAAGCGUUGCCGUAGGCAACGACCCGAAGGGCGA
This 96-nucleotide small RNA is filed under the name Salmonella enterica subsp. enterica serovar Cerro. RNAcentral describes it as "partial RtT sRNA". It matches the Rfam family "RtT RNA", at positions 1 to 94 of the family's 130-position model. From Rfam's summary of the family: This family represents a bacterial cis-regulatory element known as RtT RNA. The exact function of RtT is unknown although it is thought that it may be involved in changing the cellular response in relation to amino acid starvation. The record is from RNAcentral. Lineage: Bacteria; Pseudomonadati; Pseudomonadota; Gammaproteobacteria; Enterobacterales; Enterobacteriaceae.